UCCAGGACCCAGUAAAGGUUGCAUCUCCAUCAUUUCAACUCUGUUACUCCCAGACUGAUCUGUUGAAAUAAAAUAUAGCAACAUUAACAACAACAAAAACAACAACAUUAAUAACCUGACCAGUAAUUACACAUUAGACUCAUAAAGCCUGAGGUCUUCUCUCCCUGAGGACAACAACAUUAAUAACCUGACCAGUAAUUACACAUUAGACUCAUAAAGCCUGAGGUCUUCUCUCCCUGAGGACAACAACAUUAAUAACCUGACCAGUAAUUACACAUUAGACUCAUAAAGCCUGAGGUCUUCUCUCCCUGAGGACAACAACAUUAAUAACCUGACCAGUAAUUACACAUUAGACUCAUAAAGCCUGAGGUCUUCUCUCCCUGAGGACAACAACAUUAAUAACCUGACCAGUAAUUACACAUUAGACUCAUAAAGCCUGAGGUCUUCUCUCCCUGAGGACAACAACAUUAAUAACCUGACCAGUAAUUACACAUUAGACUCAUAAAGCCUGAGGUCUUCUCUCCCUGAGGACAACAACAUUAAUAACCUGACCAGUAAUUACACAUUAGACUCAUAAAGCCUGAGGUCUACUC
Long non-coding RNA from Oncorhynchus keta (chum salmon), 593 nucleotides. RefSeq lists it as uncharacterized. The transcript is spliced from 3 exons. NCBI's taxonomy places the organism in Eukaryota, Metazoa, Chordata, Actinopteri, Salmoniformes, Salmonidae. The record is from RefSeq and is a predicted model, not a curated record.